This 471-nucleotide ribosomal RNA is filed under the name uncultured bacterium. RNAcentral's name for it is "partial 16S ribosomal RNA". It matches the Rfam family "Bacterial small subunit ribosomal RNA", at positions 28 to 507 of the family's 1533-position model. The record is from RNAcentral.
GACGAACGCUGGCGGCGUGCUUAACACAUGCAAGUCGAACGGAAAGGCCCUGCUUGCAGGGUGCUCGAGUGGCGAACGGGUGAGUAACACGUGGGUGAUCUGCCCCUUACUUUGGGAUAAGCCUGGGAAACUGGGUCUAAUACUGGAUAGGACCAUGCUGUAGGUGGUGUGGUGGAAAGAUUUUUUCGGUAAGGGAUGAGCUCGCGGCCUAUCAGCUUGUUGGUGGGGUAAUGGCCUACCAAGGCGUCGACGGGUAGCCGGCCUGAGAGGGUGGACGGCCACAUUGGGACUGAGAUACGGCCCAGACUCCUACGGGAGGCAGCAGUGGGGAAUAGUGCACAAUGGGCGCAAGGCUGAUGCAGCGACGCCGCGUGGGGGAUGACGGCAUUCGGGUUGUAAACUCCUUUCAGCCAUGACGAAGCCUCUUUUGGGGUGACGGUAGUGGUAGAAGAAGCACCGGCUAACUACGUG